RNAcentral lists this ribosomal RNA (433 nucleotides) under uncultured bacterium. RNAcentral's name for it is "partial 16S ribosomal RNA". It matches the Rfam family "Bacterial small subunit ribosomal RNA", at positions 29 to 507 of the family's 1533-position model. The record is from RNAcentral.
AACGAACGCUGGCGGCAUGCCUAACACAUGCAAGUCGAACGAGACCUUCGGGUCUUGUGGCGCUCGGGUGCGUAACGCGUGGGAACCUGCCCUUAGGUUCGCAAUACCUCCCCGAAUGGGGUGCUAAUACCGCUUCAUGUCUUCGGACCAAAGAUUUAUCGCCUUUGGAUGGGCCCGCGUUGGCUUAGCUAGUUGGUAGGGUAAAAGCCUACCAAGGCGACGAUACAUAGCUGGUCUGAGAGGAUGAUCAGCCACACUGGGACUGAGACGCGGCCCAGACUCCUACGGGAGGCAGCAGUGGGGGAUAUUGGAAGAUGGAGGAAAGGCUGAACCAGCAAUGCCGCGUGAGUGAUGAAGGCCUUAGGGUUGUAAAGCGCUUUUACCCGGGAUGAUAAUGACGGUACCGGGAGAAUAAGCACCGGCUAACUCCGUG